AUGAGGAAGUCUGGAACAAAAGAGGGUAUCGAGGGAUCUAUUGGAUUUAAGCAUGGGAUUGAUGUGAACCCAUCUUCUGUUUCUACUCAAACAGGAGGAACGCGAUCUGAUUUGAUGAUUCGAGUGUGCAGUUGUACUAGAAGGUCCUCGUCACUUCAUAAUCCUAAUACCAGAAAUAUUAUGAUGACCUGCAAAAGCUGUGGUGGCAAAUCAACAGUGGACAGAGGUGGGCCAUCGUGUAGCAGCAACCUUAACACCAGCGGCUUGGAGCUCCCCAGACCUAUAGAUCCUGAGGUGAGAUGGAAGACUGUAAACAGAAGGCAAAGAGCUGCAAGGAGAGCAAGGACCUUUUCUGGAGGAGACAGAUUGAAGGAUGAAAUUAGAUCUUUCUAUGCAUGUGGCAAUCCCACGAGCCUAGAAGUGGCUCAAGAAGAGGAUUCAGCCUCUGAAUCUGAGAAGCUUGGGGUAUCUAUUCUUGGUCGGCGCUUUGGUGAUCCCAUGGAAAAUGUUCCAAUAAAAAAGAGAAGAGUUCAUAUGGAUUGUUCUCCAUCACCUCCAUCCACCCCACUGCUAGUGGAUCCUUAUGAAAAAAUACCGAGCAGAUCUGGUGGAGGCAUUUCAUCAUAUGGCAAGCACCGCAAGGUUAAAACACUAGGAGGCAAGCACAUGGAAGAAAAGAGAGGACCUCUUGAAGCUGCUGAUUUUUCCGGUAUAUCAAUACUGGCUGCUGCUGCCUGUGAAAGUGAGAUGGAUGUUGCUAAGUUAAAUGGUGAAUGCUCGAAGUCAGCCCGCUCUCUUGAUGAAAGAAAGCCAGAAAUUAUCUCUGGCAGUUCACUGUUGGAUCCUCUACAUGAAAUUAAGGGGGAUAAGCUAAAUAUCCCAGACAGGACCCUGAAAUUAUCUGAAACUGCUCCUGACAUGAGGCCUUUGUUUCCCACUACAUUAAAUAGCUCUGAGUCUGCUCCUGACAUGAAGCCCUUGUUCCCCACAACAUUAAAUGGUCCAGAGAAUCUUGUUGGAUCUGCAGCUGCUCUGGAGGGCAAAUCAGUAGGCUGCUUUGGAGAUACAGUUGUGCACACCAAGCAUUCCAAUGCGGCUCAUGAUUCUAGACUGCACUGGGAUCUUAACAUUGCGAUGGAGGCGUGGGACACCCAUUGUGGUGAUGAUGAUAAUCAUGAUAUGGUUGGUCCUGAUCCUGUAGCUUCUGUAAGUGAUUGUAAUGAUGCUCAAAAGGAGAUGAACAAAUCACAGGUGUGUCGGGAUCUUUCUCAGUCAACAGUUGCUGAGGUCAUACUUCGUCAUUCUGUUGAUAAAAUUCACGUGGCUGAUGCAGCGAAAGAUGGUAACACAAAGGGUGAAACUGAUUUCCCAGGUGAUGGUUCAUUUCAUCCUUUGUGCAGUCGGUCUCCCCUGAAAGUUCAGCUAUUGGAAUCCGAAUGUUUAGAUGGAAAUGAUUCCUCUGCCGAAACAAACAAUUUGCUUGAUCUGCAGAAGAGUAGUUAUGUUUCUAAUGUGGCAUUGCAUAUCGGAUCUAAUCCAGACUUGAGUUCUCUGUCUCUUACUAAGGAACAUUUCGCUUUUGCUGCAAAUGUGGAGAAACUUGACGUGUCACACACUUCACCCCUUGAUUGUGAAGGUUUGUCUCACUUGAUUUCUGAGGAUGCUCAUGCUGGAGGUAGUUCAAUUCAAACAAGUGUUCUGGGCUCCAGAGUGAAGCCUAUGACAAGCAGAUUAGUUUCUGAGGAAAGCACAAAUAUUGCAACAGUUUCCAGUAAAAGUUUUACUGACGCUGGGUGGAGCGAUGAUAAACUUGGGCAAGCUUCACUACAGAGCAUAUCUGAAUUUAAAAACCAUGAACUUUUGGAUGUUGAUUCAGGAACUAGUAAAAUUGAUCAGUCCGUCAAUGAGAAGGCUGAACAUGACACUGACGUAUUGUGCGUUGACAAGAAAGCUGCAGAUGCAGACAAUGAUUCAGACCUCCCUGAUUCUCAUCCAGAGGAUAACCUACACACUUCUGAUUGCGUCAUGUCCUAUGCGCAUAUAGAGGGUGGUGUGGAUGCAACAAUCGAUUACAGAAAUCGUUUACUUGCUUGUGCCAACGCUACCAGUGCAGAAACAUGUUACAUCACCAGUGAUAUUCAUGCUCAUGGUCUCAAUUCAGAGUGCACUAAACAAGCAGAUACUGACAUGGACAAUAUUGUGGAUUCAAAAUCUAGAGCACAAAGCCAACCAAGUGGUUACAAACAUGAUCUUCAGAAGGUCACAUCAAAUAAUUGCCUUGAACACUGCUAUCGGACAGACACGUCUCGUUUUAGCAAAGAUCUUUCUGUGACCGGAAAAGUUGACGUCGAGGAAGAUGAUUCUCAGUAUGAGGAUGGGGAACUUAGGGAAUCUGGUGACCGUUAUUGGGCCGAUGACAUUUAUGAAGAAGUUAAAUGUGCUAAUUAUCAGGUAUCAGAUUACAAGGAUGAAAAAGCUGCCCCAGACAUUCAUCAUGUACCUGUUGGCUCUGUUUCAAACAAUAUGGUUAUGCCAGUUGCUAAUUACAAUGGAACAUUAUCCAGGAAGGAAGAUUGUGAUGUUUCACCCGUCUCAUCGAAGCGCUCAUGGUCAAGUAACUGCUUGGAUGGUGGAUCUGGAAUGAUGUGUGCUGCAAGUGCUCGGAGCAUUCAUGUGAAUAUGAAAAAUGAGACUCGAAUGUAUGACAACCUAGACCUUACAAUAGCUCGAUCUGCUGGGACCGUUAGCCAGUCUGAAAGGGGUGGUGAUGGUUUAGGUGAGGAUCCAUUGAAUAUCAGAUCAAAGCCCGUGGGAUGGGAUAUGUUGCCUGAAGAUCAGAGGCACUCUCGAGAUUCAAGAGACAGAGUUGAUUCUUCUAACCUGUGUGUUUUAGGUACAUUAGAGGCAGCUGAAGCCUGUGAAUCAUUUCGACCAAUGGGAUUACCAAAUAGAGACGUGCAAUCACGACUUGAUCGGCCUAGAUCAUUUGACAGACCCCACAGAAAUGAGCACUGCAGAUCUGAUGAUGGCUAUGGUUCUGGCUCAAAAGCUGAAAGGUCUGUUGAUAGGCCACAUGGCAGGGGCGGAGCAUCUCGGCAUAUUCAAGCAAACAUCCGAGGGGAGCAGUGGGCUGAAAAUUCAAAUAGUUCUCGUUCUUCCCAGCGAAGAUCACCUGAUUAUAAUAAUUAUGGCCCAGCUGGUCCAAGAAAUGCUGCUGAAGCUGCUGUUGCAAAGAUGGAGAGCAGUGGCUUUGUUGUUGCAGCUGAUGGCACUUUGGUAAGAGCUGUUGAUGCAGCAAAUACAAGUACCAUGUCCAGAAGGAUGAGAAACAAAAGUAGCUUCUACCACCCUUUGUCUAGACGGUGUUCCCCAGUUGACAGAGAUGGAAGUCGUGGGUUGUCCAGAGAACCUGCACAUGCUAGGGAAGCACCUCCAGAACGAUGCUUUGGUGCUAGUGGCAACCGGUCUGGUCGAUAUGGUCCUCAGAUGGAUAAAGAUCAUGCCAUUGAUGAAAAUUUGAGUUCAGUUCAUAGCUCACUGUCUAAUAGACAACGGAGGUUCCCAGCGCAUAGAGCCUCACUCGACCUGUCACGUGCUCACAGCAGAUCUCCUUCAGGAUCUAGAUCUCGAUCACCACAUGCUUGGACAUCCAACGGAGGCUCAAGUAUACGGAGGCAUAGUAGAUCUCCUAAUUACAUGACUGAAGUUAGAAUUGGUAGAAUGACUUCACCUCAAAGACAACAUCGAUUCAAUGAUCGAGUUAUGCGUGGUAGUCCAUCAAGAAAUUCCACUUACUCUCAACAUGAUUCAACAUGGGUUGAAGGAAGGAGCUGCUCAACACUAGAUAUUUCUUAUCACAAGAAACGGUAUUCUCGGAGGAGCCCACCUCUGAGAACCACCUCAAGAAAUGACAUGUUCGAUUUAAUGGAUUCCCAAGGACGGUCAGGAUCUCGAGAAUUCCACCGCCCAACACGUGACUUCAAAAGGGGAAAUAAGCAUGAUGGGAAUGGUGAUGAUAAAAGAUGUAAUGAUAGAUAUGGAACUGUCAAACCAUAUGAACAUAAUGGUGCUGUGAAGCAGUUCAGGAAUCAUGCUGGAGAUAAACUUCAUCCACACACUUCUGCACCCAGAUCACCUGAACCGCAAAGAGGAAGCCCUCGGCGAUUUUGA
Molecule: ribosomal RNA, 4170 nt
Filed under: Triticum aestivum (bread wheat)
Lineage: Eukaryota; Viridiplantae; Streptophyta; Magnoliopsida; Poales; Poaceae
Description: partial small subunit ribosomal RNA
Source: RNAcentral